RNAcentral lists this transfer RNA (73 nucleotides) under Polyplax spinulosa (spined rat louse). RNAcentral describes it as "tRNA-Cys". The record is from RNAcentral. Lineage: Eukaryota; Metazoa; Arthropoda; Insecta; Psocodea; Polyplacidae.
GGACUUAAAAGUCCUUGAGAUUUCAGUUUGCAAGACUGAAGGGGCAAUAUAUUCAUUCUAUUGCUUAAGUCUU